UACUGGUGAACAAGAUUCAUGGUGCUUAAUCUUAGCCUAACAUUUUUCUUAGGUCUCUGUAUGUGAACUUCAAGACAGGUGUUUAUUAGCCACUUGCAAUAAACUAGAAAACAUCCUUGGGUAAAAACCACCUUUCCCCAAUUUACACGUAUCUUCAUUUGCUCUUCAGAUUUUCACAGAAAUGCAACAGUUUUCAAUUCCAGGGAUGGUGCUUUUUGAUCCGAGCCGUACUUGAUUUGAGAACAGUGAAUUUCAAAGGAGGAUUUGCCAAACCAGAAUGGUCAACAUCACCUUGAAAAUCUCAUUUAGGAAAGAAGAUUGUGACUCCCCCUGCAGAAGCAAAGAAACUGAAUGGCCCCUUCAUAGGUGACCACAGUGCUUCUCCGGUGUAUGGAACCAUUUCCCUGUCAGUCUUGCAAGAGUGAAUCAGCUAUUAUAAUGUUGGGUAAACAAAAGGUGGACACUCUACACCAGGCACCGAGGGUCCGGCCGGUUGGGAACGGGAAGUGGCGGCGCGGGGACCCGCCGGAAAUGCAGGCGCACUUUCUCUCCGGUGCUCAGGCGGACCCACCCAUCGCAUUGCUGGACGAAGCUCAGUCCUAAUACUUUCAAGGUAAGGAAAGGUUUGCACCAUUCAUGCAGGGAACCAGUGUGAUGUGAAGUAGAGUCCACAGUGACCUACAAACCCUGGAGGUUUUCGGAGCCUCAUCCACAAAUGUCUUCCCAGUGUCCAAACUGGGGGAGACAGACACAGAAGCAAUCCUGAAAAACUGUUCUCCUUACUUACACGUUCUGUUCUUCACAUCACUUUUGGUUUUUUGAGAAGGCGAAAAUGAGUGAUCACUGACCACUCCGGUUGCUUCGCUGCAGUUCUUUCUCUUCAAAGCCACUCUCAUUAGUGAACUGGCUCCCCGUGCAGGAAGGAAGCAGAGUGCCUGGCCUGGUCCGUACGUGAAAGCUGUGGGCACACGGAGUCGGUUCCCACAGGUAUCAAUCUCCGCAUGUUCCAGAAAACUGCCAAUCUACACCCAAGAUCUGAGACGGUUGCCAGGGCCACUAUAAAAUAGAAAAAAAGAAUGCCCAGUGGUAAAAGGCAUGUGGAUUUUUGUUCAUGCCUUUUACCUGAAUGUAGUCAAUUAAACAAAAUAAACUAGAAUGAUCACAGAGUGAAAAACAAAAACAUGCAAACUAAUUAGAAUUUUAACACUCCCACAGCCGUUCAGCCAGUCCAUUUGUUUUUAAGGCCAAAGUUCCCACCACAUGAAAGGCACACAGCAGGCCC
This is a long non-coding RNA of Manis pentadactyla (Chinese pangolin), 1282 nucleotides long. RefSeq lists it as uncharacterized. NCBI's taxonomy places the organism in Eukaryota, Metazoa, Chordata, Mammalia, Pholidota, Manidae. The transcript has 3 exons. The record is from RefSeq and is a predicted model, not a curated record.